RNAcentral lists this ribosomal RNA (253 nucleotides) under uncultured bacterium. RNAcentral describes it as "partial 16S ribosomal RNA". It matches the Rfam family "Bacterial small subunit ribosomal RNA", at positions 524 to 776 of the family's 1533-position model. The record is from RNAcentral.
UACGAAGGGGGCUAGCGUUGCUCGGAAUUACUGGGCGUAAAGGGCGCGUAGGCGGUUCUAUAAGUCAGGCGUGAAAUUCCUGGGCUUAACCUGGGGGCUGCGCUUGAGACUGUGGGACUUGAGGUCAGAAGAGGGUCGUGGAAUUCCCAGUGUAGAGGUGAAAUUCGUAGAUAUUCGCAAGAACACCAGUGGCGAAGGCGGCUUACUGGUCCGGAUCUGACGCUGAGGCGCGAAAGCGUGGGGAGCAAACAGG